This 74-nucleotide transfer RNA is filed under the name Paramuricea clavata. RNAcentral's name for it is "tRNA-Thr". The stretch from base 5 to 69 matches the Rfam family "tRNA", at positions 5 to 66 of the family's 71-position model. Rfam says of the family: Transfer RNA (tRNA) molecules are approximately 80 nucleotides in length. Their secondary structure includes four short double-helical elements and three loops (D, anti-codon, and T loops). Lineage: Eukaryota; Metazoa; Cnidaria; Anthozoa; Malacalcyonacea; Plexauridae. The record is from RNAcentral.
AACCGUGUAGCUCAGUUGGUAGAGCAUCGUUCUGGUAAUUCGAAGGUCGCGGGUUCAAGACCCAGCCGCAGCGG